RNA transcript from Brassica rapa (field mustard), 1944 nucleotides. RefSeq lists it as uncharacterized. The record is from RefSeq and is a predicted model, not a curated record. NCBI's taxonomy places the organism in Eukaryota, Viridiplantae, Streptophyta, Magnoliopsida, Brassicales, Brassicaceae.
CAUCUUUUCCGCUUAUUAUCUGUAACGUCGGGCUCCCACAACUCUGUGUAAUAAAACCCAUUACUAAUUGCAGCAAUAGUGAGCCAUGAAACCGUUGCGAUUCCCUCAACAUAUAGCUUUAUAAACAUCAAACCAGGCGAUGACUAUAAGAACAGAGAAAUCCACCGGGAAGGCUCCGCUCAAUUCUUCAAUGAUGUCUCUCCUGGCUUGGCGGAGGCCGAGCUACUUUUCUGGCUAAUCCAUUUCUGGUAGUGGAAUUGCUGCAAAACCUCGUGGAAUUGAGAACGUCAUAACAAUAACUGCAUAUGGGAGUUCGAUCUCAUUGUUGCAAUGGUUGAACAGAACAAAGCCAAACAAUGUGGAUAGCGAAAUCUCAAUGCUAAAAGGAUACUAUGUUUCUCGGAGCUUAUAUUGGUCCUUCCUCUUUAUGAUCAAUUGUUGGUUUCAUAUAUAUAUAUUUUGUAAUCUCAGACUAAAUGUUAACUAAGUUUUGCUCUUAUCUCUUAUUUUACCCAGUUACUGCAAGAGUCAUCAUGGACAUAGACAUGUGGUGGAGCUAAGCGUACGUCAGUGUGAUUAGUAAAAACUAAUCUUCUUAAUUUGUUUUAUCUCUUCGUUAUCAUUUGUCAUGGUUUGGUCGAUUUUUCCGCAAAUCACCAUCUCAAGAUCUGUUUUGGCUUUAAGAUGUAUUUCCAGUGUGUUUCUAGCUACUUUCUACUCUUUUACAUACACUUUAUUUUCCUUUACAUACACUUAUCACUCUCAUUCGCCAAAUACAUAUGGUCUGAUUUAGCUUUUUACUAUUAAAUGUUUUCUUUGCAUAAAACUGUCAAAGGAUUAUCAACGGCAAGACCAUCACUGUACGGUUUUUCAGGUUGGUGCAGCUCUUUCGCUCAACCAGACACAUGGCAUUUGUAGCACGAAGAAGGUCAUAUACCCCAUAUUCAAAGGUCUACAAUUUUAUUUAAAACGUUGGUAUGUUCAGCCUUAUAAUACGUGUUGAGUAACUGAAGAUUACUUAUUCGCUUGGUUUCUCCGAUAUACAUGAGAAGUAUAACAUAAAUAAAUCAUAAAUCACAAUUGUGAUUGGUUACAACAAUUGCAGCUACUCAUACUGUUUUUUUUUGUGCAGUGAUUGGUUAGUAAUACAAAGCAGCUACUUAUACUUUUUUUUUGUUCUUUACAGUUACAACAAUUGCAGCUACUGAUUAGAAAAUAUUCCAAUUGCUCACUUUUCUAUACGCAGCGUUUGAUGUAAUAAUGGUUUAUUUCUCUUCUUCAGGUGUUAAUUGCUGUUGCUAUGAUCCUAGGCGACGGUGUAUACAAACUUGCAAGGUGAGCCGGACCCUUUCCGGACUAUUAAACCAGAUCCGAGGUGGACCUGGUCCGAGAACCUCCUUUCCCAUUGCCACCAAAGAUAUCAUAUGAUGAUCAGCAUAGAACAAGAUCCUUCCUUAAGGACCAAAAUUCCUUCAUGGGUUGCUGGUGGAGGCUAUGAGCUUCGCUUACCUGAAUGGUACUACAUUCUGGUCAUCAGUGUCUUCGCCUUAGUCUUGGCUUUAUGCAAUGCGUUAUGGAGUCAGGCUCACGGUUUGGUCACUAGCCAACCCAUGUUUACAAUCAGAGCAUGGGCUGGUUCAGACCAUGGAGGUCUUCCUGCACAUAUAUAGUAUCCACAGCUUCAGACCUGACACAAGAUUUCAAGAUAGGUUACCUAAUAUUGUCAUCUCCAAGGGAUCUGUGUUGUGAGCCGAGUGAUUGGAACAUAAGUGGGAGGUUUGAUUUCGCCAUGUGUGUUCUGGCUUUUCUACAAGUUUUUACUGUUUUCUGAAUUUCGGCUUGGUUUAGAAUUGAACUGCGAUCUUUGUAUUUGUUUCUGACGUUGUUUCUACAUGUUUGUUUCUUAACUGUCAUUUAAGGUUUUAUUCUUCAGGGGUUAACAGA